Molecule: ribosomal RNA, 497 nt
Filed under: uncultured bacterium
Lineage: Bacteria
Description: partial 16S ribosomal RNA
Rfam family: Bacterial small subunit ribosomal RNA
Source: RNAcentral
GAUGAACGCUGGCGGCGUGCCUAACACAUGCAAGUCGAGCGAACAGACCAUGAGCUUGCUCCGCGGACGUUAGCGGCGGGCGGGUGAGUAACACGUGGAUAACCUCCCUAUAAUACUGGGAUAACCUCGGGAAACGGGCUCUUAUCCCGUAGAAUAUCUUGAACCACGGUGGUCAUUGGUGAAAUUCGGCUUUUGUGUCACUAAUCGCUGGAUCUGCGCCGCAUUGGCUAGUUGGUAAGGUACCGGCUUAUCAAGGCAACGAUGCGUAACCGACCUGAGAGGGUGAUCGGCCACACUGGGACUGAGACACGGUACAGACUCCUACGGGAGGCAGCAGUAGGGAUUCUUCCGCCAAGGGCGAAAGACUGACGGAGCAACGCCGCGUGAAUGAUGAAGGUCUUCGGAUCGGAAAACUCUGUUAUUAGGGAAGAACAAAUGUGUAAGUAACUAUGCACGUCUUGACGGUACAUAAGCAGAAAGCCACGGCUAACUACGUG